GACGAAGGGGGCUAGCGUUGUUCGGAAUUACUGGGCGUAAAGCGCGUGUAGGCGGUUGGCCAAGUCGGGGGUGAAAGCCUUGAGCUCAACUCAAGAAAUGCACUCGGUACUGGGUGACUAGAGGACCGGAGAGGAUAGUGGAAUUCCCAGUGUAGUGGUGAAAUACGUAGAGAUUGGGAAGAACACCAGUGGCGAAGGCGGCUAUCUGGACGGUUUCUGACACUAAGACUCGAAAGCGUGGGGAGCAAACAGG
This 253-nucleotide ribosomal RNA is filed under the name uncultured bacterium. Its description in RNAcentral is "partial 16S ribosomal RNA". It matches the Rfam family "Bacterial small subunit ribosomal RNA", at positions 524 to 776 of the family's 1533-position model. The record is from RNAcentral.